UAAAGUGCGAUAUGUAGUGCGAUUUGCAUGAAUCUGUGAGUCAUUGAAUUUUUGAACGCAACUUGCGCCUCUGUGGAGGCAUGUCUGUUUGAGGGCCGAAUAAACAAUGUAGUGAUACGAAGUGAUCUGAGCGGGAGGAGAGUAGGGGGGUGGGGUGAUGAAGUGAGCUUUUUGAGCUCAUCCUCAUUGCACUCUACAAUCCUACACUCUUGCUGGAUUUAAAUGUAGCAAGAUAAUGGUCAUGAACGCCAUGAUUUCGAGUGCUAAGCAUUCUUGGAAUUGUUGAUUAUGAUCAGGAGGGGGGACCACACAUGUCCCCUCUCUAAACCCCCCUUAUAUGGCCUCAAAUCAGGCAAGAUUACCCGCUGAACUUAA
This 375-nucleotide unclassified non-coding RNA is filed under the name uncultured fungus. RNAcentral's name for it is "sequence contains ITS1". The stretch from base 1 to 98 matches the Rfam family "5.8S ribosomal RNA", at positions 49 to 154 of the family's 154-position model. The record is from RNAcentral. Lineage: Eukaryota; Fungi.